RNAcentral lists this unclassified non-coding RNA (267 nucleotides) under uncultured Hypocreales. RNAcentral describes it as "sequence contains 5.8S rRNA gene, ITS2, 28S rRNA gene". The record is from RNAcentral. Lineage: Eukaryota; Fungi; Ascomycota; Sordariomycetes; Hypocreales.
AACGCACAUUGCGCCCGGUAGUACUCUACCGGGCAUGCCUGUCCGAGCGUCAUUUCAACCCUCGGGACCCGUUUCGGCGGGACCCGGCGUUGGGGAUCGGCCGUCCUCCGCGGCGUGCCGGCCCCGAAAUACAGUGGCGGUCUCGUUGUGACUCCCCUGCGUAGUAGUAACAUUCUCGCAUGCGGAUAGCGACGCGGCCACGCCGUAAAACCCCCAACUUUUACCAAGGUUGACCUCGGAUCAGGUAGGAAUACCCGCUGAACUUAA